Molecule: long non-coding RNA, 374 nt
Organism: Limulus polyphemus (Atlantic horseshoe crab)
Lineage: Eukaryota; Metazoa; Arthropoda; Merostomata; Xiphosura; Limulidae
Exons: 3
Source: RefSeq, a predicted model, not a curated record
UUCAACCUUCAGUAGCAAAUGACGUUCCGACCACGUGCCCGAAUGAUUGCAAUCAUAACGGAAACUGUCAGCUUGGAAAGUGCCACUGUUUCCCAGGUUACAUAGGUCAUGACUGUGCCGACAACGUGUGCCCUGUUUUGUGUAACAAUCAAGGCCGAUACGUGCAUGGCACGUGCCGAUGUGACGAAGGGUGGAAAGGAGCAGAAUGUAACGUUCCAGCUGAAGACUGUGAAAUACCUGACUGUAACCGUAGAGGCAAGUGUAUAGAGGGAGCUUGCAUCUGCAAACCUGGGUACAAGGGACAGUUUUGUGAUGAAGGCAAGUAGAAGUUUUUCAGUUUUUUGGAGAAAAAAAAAGUUCAGAAGCAUUGGUAA